CUACGGGGUGCACCAGUGGGGAAUAUUGGACAAUGGGGGCAACCCUGAUCCAGCCAUGCCGCGUGUGUGAAGAAGGCCUUUUGGUUGUAAAGCACUUUAAGCAGUGAAGAAGACCUAACGGUUAAUACCCGUUAGCGAUGACAUUAGCUGCAGAAUAAGCACCGGCUAACUCUGUGCCAGCAGCCGCGGUAAUACAGAGGGUGCAAGCGUUAAUCGGAAUUACUGGGCGUAAAGCGAGCGUAGGUGGCUUGAUAAGUCAGAUGUGAAAUCCCCGGGCUUAACCUGGGAACUGCAUCUGAUACUGGUAAGCUAGAGUAGGUGAGAGGGAAGUAGAAUUCCAGGUGUAGCGGUGAAAUGCGUAGAGAUCUGGAGGAAUACCGAUGGCGAAGGCAGCUUCCUGGCAUCAUACUGACACUGAGGCUCAAAAGCGUGGGUAGCAAACAGGAUUAGAUACCCCGGUAGUC
RNAcentral lists this ribosomal RNA (464 nucleotides) under uncultured bacterium. Its description in RNAcentral is "partial 16S ribosomal RNA". It matches the Rfam family "Bacterial small subunit ribosomal RNA", at positions 339 to 795 of the family's 1533-position model. The record is from RNAcentral.